This 255-nucleotide unclassified non-coding RNA is filed under the name uncultured fungus. Its description in RNAcentral is "partial contains 5.8S ribosomal RNA, internal transcribed spacer 2, and large subunit ribosomal RNA". The record is from RNAcentral. Lineage: Eukaryota; Fungi.
AACGCACAUUGCGCCCGCCAGCAUUCUGGCGGGCAUGCCUGUUCGAGCGUCAUUUCAACCCUCAGGCCCCUCCGGGCUUGGUGUUGGGGAUCGGCCCCGCCCCGGCGGCCGGCCCCGAAACUCAGUGGCGGUCGCGCCGUAGGCUCCUCUGCGUAGUAGCAACACCUCGCAGUGGGACGCGGCGCGGCCACGCCGUAAACCCCCCAACUUCUGAAUGUUGACCUCGGAUCAGGUAGGAAUACCCGCUGAACUUAA